AGCAUCUACUUACGAACGACGUCUGAAACAUUUUUAAGCCACGGGUGAAGAUAUUUUCGAGAACGACGGAAACACAUUGUUUAUUCAGGUAUCGACAUCUGUACGACAUAUCUAAUGACGCUGAGAUGGCGAUUUUGCCAAGAGAGGUAAUUCUAGGACCGUCUGAGGUUUUCAGUUGCCGGAUAGACUGCCCAGCCUGAAAGCGGAAAAAAGAGCAUCCUCAAGUAAAAAUUGAACCUGAAACAGCGGUUUAAGAAAAAGUCAAUGAUCAAACCAUCGUCAAAACAAAGGCUGAAAAAUAAAUUGUCUUCGAAGAUAUUCGGGAAGGCCGAUUAGGGACUCUUCGUGUACAUAAAUCGUGGAAAAUAACUUUACAAAUGGGAGAACAUUCAUUCAUCACGGCUAGUGCAAGAUAAGUUUCCUAUCUACAAGAUCUAAUAUCAGUUGAGGUAAAUGCAGAAGAAAAAAGCGGAAAUAUGAAAGCACUCGGAGCAUUUGAGCAUAAAACUGUUUGUCUACCAGAUUGGGAAGAAUUGAUUGUAGAUUCGUGAUGUUCGAUGGCCCCUUGAAUUUGUACGCUGCUGUGUGGGAAUAACGAACUGUGGAAAAUACAUUAAUUUCCUUCAAUUAAA
Long non-coding RNA from Daphnia carinata, 632 nucleotides. RefSeq lists it as uncharacterized. NCBI's taxonomy places the organism in Eukaryota, Metazoa, Arthropoda, Branchiopoda, Diplostraca, Daphniidae. The transcript has 2 exons. The record is from RefSeq and is a predicted model, not a curated record.